GUGGUUGUGGCUCAGUGGUAGAGCACUUGCCUAGCAUGUGUGAGGCACUGGGUUCAAUUCUUAGUGCCACA
This 71-nucleotide transfer RNA is filed under the name Ictidomys tridecemlineatus (thirteen-lined ground squirrel). RNAcentral describes it as "Spermophilus tridecemlineatus (thirteen-lined ground squirrel) tRNA". It matches the Rfam family "tRNA". From Rfam's summary of the family: Transfer RNA (tRNA) molecules are approximately 80 nucleotides in length. Lineage: Eukaryota; Metazoa; Chordata; Mammalia; Rodentia; Sciuridae. The record is from Rfam by way of RNAcentral.